GACGAACGCUGGCGGCGUGGAUUAGGCAUGCAAGUCGAACGGUAGGAUACCUUCGGGUAUCUGAGAGUGGCGAACGGGUGAGUAACACGUAGGUGAUCUACCCUCAAGAUUGGGACAACCCAGGGAAACUUGGGCUAAUACCGGAUGAAAGCAGCAGUGAUGUUGUUUGAAAGGUGGCGUAAGCUGCCGUUUGGGGAUGAGCCUGCGCUCUAUUAGUUAGUUGGGCGGGGUAAAGGCCCACCAAGGCGAUGAUAGAUAGGCGGCCUUAACGGGUGGUCGCCCACACUGGGAUUGAGAUACGGCCCAGACUCCUACGGGAGGCAGCAGUCGAGAAUAGUCUACAAUGGCCGAAAGGCUGAUAGUGCGACGCCGCGUGAACGAAGAAGCCCUUCGGGUGUAAAGUUCUUUUAUAUGUGAGCAGUGCUUUCUAUGUGAACAGCAUGGGGAGAGAGAUAUUAGCAUAUGAAUAAGCAACGGCUAACUCCGUCCAGCA
RNAcentral lists this ribosomal RNA (493 nucleotides) under uncultured bacterium. Its description in RNAcentral is "bacterial SSU rRNA". It matches the Rfam family "Bacterial small subunit ribosomal RNA", at positions 28 to 513 of the family's 1533-position model. The record is from RNAcentral.